Molecule: long non-coding RNA, 291 nt
Organism: Xiphophorus hellerii (green swordtail)
Lineage: Eukaryota; Metazoa; Chordata; Actinopteri; Cyprinodontiformes; Poeciliidae
Exons: 3
Source: RefSeq, a predicted model, not a curated record
GCGGGUGAAGUAGAGAGAAAGAAACGCACGGACGAAAUUAUUGAUUAAAAAAAGGAGAGAAGUGAGGAUAAAGUGUGUGAAGCGAGUGCUGUAUGUUGGGAUAUCAUACAGCUGGAUAAGUGUUUGCUUACUCUGGAAACUCCGAGAGACUCUACCAGAUGACCUGAAUAAAAAUCAUGCUCUCUGUCUGGCCUCCUUGAACACAUUCUGAAGAGGGUGUGGCAUUGUGCUGCUGAUGGUGCAGCUGCCUUUCAGAGUUCAGGGACCAUCACCUGGUAAGCUGGUCUACAC